RNAcentral lists this ribosomal RNA (976 nucleotides) under human oral metagenome. RNAcentral describes it as "bacterial LSU rRNA". It matches the Rfam family "Bacterial large subunit ribosomal RNA", at positions 1959 to 2925 of the family's 2925-position model. The record is from RNAcentral.
GCGAAAUUCCUUGUCGGGUAAGUUCCGACCUGCACGAAUGGCGUAACGACUUCCCCGCUGUCUCAACCAUGAGCUCGGCGAAAUUGCAGUACGAGUAAAGAUGCUCGUUUCGCGCAGAAGGACGGAAAGACCCCGGGACCUUUACUACAGCUUGGUAUUGGCGCCCGCUAUAGCUUGUGCAGGAUAGGUGGGAGACUGUGAAGCCGUUACGCCAGUGGCGGUGGAGUCGUCCUUGAAAUACCACUCUGGUUAUGGCGUGCGCCUGAACCUGGGCCCGUGAUCCGGGUUAGGGACAGUGCCUGGUGGGUAGUUUAACUGGGGCGGUUGCCUCCUAAAGUGUAACGGAGGCGCUCAAAGGUUCCCUCAGCCUGGUCGGCAACCAGGUGUUGAGUGCAAGUGCACAAGGGAGCUUGACUGUGAGACCGACGGGUCGAGCAGGUACGAAAGUAGGAACUAGUGAUCCGGCGAUCCCGUGUGGGUGGGUCGUCGCUCAACGGAUAAAAGGUACCCCGGGGAUAACAGGCUGAUCCUGCCCAAGAGUCCAUAUCGACGGCAUGGUUUGGCACCUCGAUGUCGGCUCGUCGCAUCCUGGGGCUGGAGCAGGUCCCAAGGGUUGGGCUGUUCGCCCAUUAAAGCGGUACGCGAGCUGGGUUUAGAACGUCGUGAGACAGUUCGGUCCCUAUCCUCUGCGCGCGCAGGAGACUUGAGAAGGCCUGUCCCUAGUACGAGAGGACCGGGACGGACGAACCUCUGGUGUGCCAGUUGUCCCGCCCGGGGCACGGCUGGUUGGCUACGUUCGGGAAGGGUAACCGCUGAAAGCAUCUAAGCGGGAAACCAUCUUCAAGAUAAGGUCUCCACAGGAAGGACUUGUCCUUUUUGGUAGGCCCCCAGCAGACUACUGGGUUGAUAGGCCAGAAGUGGAAGACCGGCAACGGUUGUGAGCUGACUGGUACUAAUAGGCCAACACAAACAACAA